CCUACGGGAGGCAGCAGUAAGGAAUAUUGGUCAAUGGACGCAAGUCUGAACCAGCCAUGCCGCGUGAAGGAUUAAGGCCCUCUGGGUUGUAAACUUCUUUUAUAGGGGACGAAAAAAGGGCAUUCUUGCUCACUUGACGGUACCCUAGGAAUAAGCACCGGCUAACUCCGUGCCAGCAGCCGCGGUAAUACGGAGGGUGCAAGCGUUAUCCGGAUUUACUGGGUUUAAAGGGUGCGUAGGUGGGUUGGUAAGUCAGUGGUGAAAUCUUCGAGCUUAACUCGGAAACUGCCAUUGAUACUAUCAAUCUUGAAUCAUCUAGAGGUAAGCGGAAUAUGUCAUGUAGCGGUGAAAUGCUUAGAUAUGACAUAGAACACCAAUUGCGAAGGCAGCUUACUAUGGAUGUAUUGACACUGAGGCACGAAAGCGUGGGGAUCAAACAGGAUUAGAUACCCUGGUAGUCCACGCCCUAAACCGAUGGAUACUCGACAUUUGUGAUAUACCUAUAAGUGUNUGAGAGAAGANAUAAUAUACCACCACGGAGACGACGACGAGUAGUAACGUACAAUAGAGUAGUACGCGNGAGNGNGCGACGACGACGACGAGGGAGGAGG
Molecule: ribosomal RNA, 611 nt
Filed under: uncultured bacterium
Lineage: Bacteria
Description: bacterial SSU rRNA
Rfam family: Bacterial small subunit ribosomal RNA (bases 1-535)
Source: RNAcentral